GUAGGUGGCAAGCGUUGUCCGGAAUUAUUGGGCGUAAAGCGCGCGCAGGCGGUUCUUUAAGUCUGAUGUGAACGCCCACGGCUCAACCGUGGAGGGUCAUUGGAAACUGGAGAACUUGAGUACAGAAGAGGAAAGCGGAAUUCCACGUGUAGCGGUGAAAUGCGUAGAGAUGUGGGGGAACACCAGUGGCGAAGGCGGCUUUCUGGUCUGUAACUGACGCUGAGGCGCGAAAGCGUGGGGAGCAAACAGGGAUUAGAUACCCUGGUAGUCCACGCCGUAAAUGAUGAGUGCUAAGUGUUAGGGGGGUUUCCGCCCCCCUUAGUGCUGCAGCUAACGCAUUAAGCACUCCGCCUGGGAGUACGGCCGCAAGGCUG
This 374-nucleotide ribosomal RNA is filed under the name uncultured organism. RNAcentral's name for it is "partial 16S ribosomal RNA". It matches the Rfam family "Bacterial small subunit ribosomal RNA", at positions 527 to 896 of the family's 1533-position model. The record is from RNAcentral.